RNAcentral lists this ribosomal RNA (301 nucleotides) under uncultured bacterium. RNAcentral describes it as "partial 16S ribosomal RNA". It matches the Rfam family "Bacterial small subunit ribosomal RNA", at positions 509 to 807 of the family's 1533-position model. The record is from RNAcentral.
CAGCCGCCACGGGAACACGGAGGGUGCAAGCGUUAAUCGGAAUUACUGGGCGUAAAGCGCACGCAGGCGGUCUGACAAGUCAGAUGUGAAAUCCCCGGGCUUAACCUGGGAACUGCAUUUGAAACUGUCAGGCUGGAGUCUUGUAGAGGGGGGUGGAAUUCCAGGUGUAGCGGUGAAAUGCGUAGAGAUCUGGAGGAAUACCGGUGGCGAAGGCGGCCCCCUGGACAAAGACUGACGCUCAGGUGCGAAAGCGUGGGGAGCAAACAGGAUUAGAUACCCGUGUAGUCCCUGUCUCUUAUAC